RNAcentral lists this ribosomal RNA (253 nucleotides) under uncultured bacterium. RNAcentral's name for it is "partial 16S ribosomal RNA". It matches the Rfam family "Bacterial small subunit ribosomal RNA", at positions 524 to 776 of the family's 1533-position model. The record is from RNAcentral.
UACGUAGGGUGCAAGCGUUGUCCAGAAUUAUUGGGCGUAAAGAGCUCGUAGGCGGCUUGUCACGUCGUCUGUGAAAACCCGGGGCUCAACUCCGGGCCUGCAGUCGAUACGGGCUGGCUUGAGUGCGGUAGGGGAGACUGGAAUUCCUGGUGUAGCGGUGAAAUGCGCAGAUAUCAGGAGGAACACCGGUGGCGAAGGCGGGUCUCUGGGCCGUAACUGACGCUGAGGAGCGAAAGCGUGGGGAGCGAACAGG